UCGUGGUUUGGAUGAGCUUGCGGCCCAUUAGCUUGUUGGCAGGGUAACGGCCUACCAAGGCUACGAUGGGUAGCUGGUCUGAGAGGAUGAUCAGCCACACUGGCACUGAGACACGGGCCAGACUCCUACGGGAGGCAGCAGUGGGGAAUUUUGCGCAAUGGGCGAAAGCCUGACGCAGUAACGCCGCGUGGAGGAUGAAGGCCUUCGGGUUGUAAACUCCUGUCAGGGGGAACGACGGAGCAAGGGUGAUAAAUCUUUGCUUCCAGACGGUACCUCCAAAGGAAGCCCCGGCUAAUUCCGUGCCAGCAGCCGCGGUAA
This 318-nucleotide ribosomal RNA is filed under the name uncultured delta proteobacterium. RNAcentral's name for it is "bacterial SSU rRNA". It matches the Rfam family "Bacterial small subunit ribosomal RNA", at positions 214 to 523 of the family's 1533-position model. Lineage: Bacteria; Deltaproteobacteria. The record is from RNAcentral.